Molecule: ribosomal RNA, 241 nt
Filed under: Escherichia coli
Lineage: Bacteria; Pseudomonadati; Pseudomonadota; Gammaproteobacteria; Enterobacterales; Enterobacteriaceae
Also listed under: 2 other names
Description: partial 16S ribosomal RNA
Rfam family: Bacterial small subunit ribosomal RNA
Source: RNAcentral
CUGCAACUCGACUCCAUGAAGUCGGAAUCGCUAGUAAUCGUGGAUCAGAAUGCCACGGUGAAUACGUUCCCGGGCCUUGUACACACCGCCCGUCACACCAUGGGAGUGGGUUGCAAAAGAAGUAGGUAGCUUAACCUUCGGGAGGGCGCUUACCACUUUGUGAUUCAUGACUGGGGUGAAGUCGUAACAAGGUAACCGUAGGGGAACCUGCGGUUGGAUCACCUCCUUACCUUAAAGAAGC